GACGAACGCUGGCGGCGUGCUUAACACAUGCAAGUCGAACGGUAAGGCCCUUCGGGGUACACGAGUGGCGAACGGGUGAGUAACACGUGGGUGAUCUGCCCUGCACUUCGGGAUAAGCCUGGGAAACUGGGUCUAAUACCGGAUAGGACUCCGGACUGCAUGGUCUGGGGUGGAAAGCUUUUGCGGUGUGGGAUGGGCCCGCGGCCUAUCAGCUUGUUGGUGGGGUGAUGGCCUACCAAGGCGACGACGGGUAGCCGGCCUGAGGGGGUGACCGGCCACACUGGGACUGAGAUACGGCCCAGACUCCUACGGGGGGCAGCAGUGGGGAAUAUUGCACAAUGGGCGCAAGCCUGAUGCAGCGACGCCGCGUGAGGGAUGACGGCCUUCGGGUUGUAAACCUCUUUCAGCACAGACGAAGCGCAAGUGACGGUAUGUGCAGAAGAAGGACCGGCCAACUACGUGCCAGCAGCCGCCGUAA
RNAcentral lists this ribosomal RNA (478 nucleotides) under uncultured bacterium. RNAcentral describes it as "partial 16S ribosomal RNA". It matches the Rfam family "Bacterial small subunit ribosomal RNA", at positions 28 to 523 of the family's 1533-position model. The record is from RNAcentral.